GGAAUAUUGGACAAUGGGCGGAAGCCUGAUCCAGCCAUGCCGCGUGAGUGAUGAAGGCCCUCGGGUCGUAAAGCUCUGUGGAGAGGGACGAAACGCUGGGGGUAAAUAGUUCCUGGCUUGACGGUACCUCUUUAGCAAGCACCGGCUAACUCCGUGCCAGCAGCCGCGGUAAUACGGAGGGUGCAAACGUUGCUCGGAAUCAUUGGGCGUAAAGCGCACGUAGGCGGUCCGUUAAGUCGGAUGUGAAAGCCCUCGGCUCAACCGAGGAAGUGCAUUCGAAACUGGCGGACUUGAGUACGGGAGAGGAUCGCGGAAUUCCCGGUGUAGAGGUGAAAUUCGUAGAUAUCGGGAGGAACACCAGUGGCGAAGGCGGCGGUCUGGACCGAUACUGACGCUGAGGUGCGAAAGCGUGGGGAGCAAA
RNAcentral lists this ribosomal RNA (421 nucleotides) under uncultured bacterium. RNAcentral describes it as "bacterial SSU rRNA". It matches the Rfam family "Bacterial small subunit ribosomal RNA", at positions 358 to 772 of the family's 1533-position model. The record is from RNAcentral.